AUUGAACGCUGGCGGCAGGCCUAACACAUGCAAGUCGAGCGGUUGAGGUAGCUUGCUACCGAUACAGCGGCGGACGGGUGAGUAAUACAUGGGAAUCUGCCUGGUAGUGGGGGACAACGUUUCGAAAGGAACGCUAAUACCGCAUACGCCCUACGGGGGAAAGGGGGGGAUCUUCGGACCUCUCGCUAUCAGAUGAGCCCAUGUCAGAUUAGCUUGUUGGUGAGGUAAAGGCCCACCAAGGCGACGAUCUGUAACUGGUCUGAGAGGAUGAUCAGUCACACUGGAACUGAGACACGGUCCAGACUCCUACGGGAGGCAGCAGUGGGGAAUAUUGGACAAUGGGCGCAAGCCUGAUCCAGCCAUGCCGCGUGUGUGAAGAAGGCCUUAGGGUUGUAAAGCACUUUCAGUGGGGAGAAAGGCCUUUUACUUAAUACGUAAGAGGAUUGAUGUUACUCACAGAAGAAGCACCGGCUAACUCCGUGCCAGCCGCCGCAGUAA
Molecule: ribosomal RNA, 498 nt
Filed under: uncultured bacterium
Lineage: Bacteria
Description: partial 16S ribosomal RNA
Rfam family: Bacterial small subunit ribosomal RNA
Source: RNAcentral